UACGUAGGUUGCGAGCGUUAUUCGGAUUUACUGGGCGUAAAGCGCACCGAGGUGGCUUCUUAAGUUGGAUGUGAAAUCUCCCGGCUUAACCGGGAGGCGCCAUUCAAUACUGAGGAGCUUGAGGCCAGCAGGGGAAGGUGGAAUUCCCGGUGUAGUGGUGGAAUGCGCAGAUAUCAGGAGGAACACCGAUGGCGAAGGCAGGUCUCUGGGCCACUACUGACGCUGAGACGCGAAAGCGUGGGGAGCGAACAGG
Molecule: ribosomal RNA, 253 nt
Filed under: uncultured bacterium
Lineage: Bacteria
Description: partial 16S ribosomal RNA
Rfam family: Bacterial small subunit ribosomal RNA
Source: RNAcentral